UAAACUCACUCUCAUUUAGCUAUUUAAGAUGCAAGCUCCGCUCGAUCCCACUAUCCUUAUCAAUCUUCUCUUAACCGUCUUCUUAUUGGCUAUUUUCAUGUGGCUGUUCAUAUAUCUAACAAGGUAUGAAUACCCUAUUUUCAUACUUUCAUUCUGUGUUGAAAAGUUAAAACAAGAACCAAAUCUCUUCUACUUCCUUCAUUCUAACUCUUUUAAGUUACUUGUGUAGAUAAGUUAGAAUUUAGAUAAUUGGAGAGGAAAUUCUCCUAAUUACAUCAGUUCAUGUAUAUUCAAAAUUAUUUAUUCAUGGAAUAACAAGUCUCUACAUAAUAAAUGGUUUCAGUCUCAAACACACAAUCCCACCAAACCUUCACAACAGGCUCUAAUUCUAAUUGUAGAUCCCGAAUUUUUGUUUGGAUACUUUUUUUUAUGCUACUAUGAGUCGUAAUAAAAGUAGAAGAUAAAAUGAGUUGGAUGUUUCUUAUAAAAUGAAAUUAAUUUUGCAUUUAAUUAACUUUUAUUAACGUGCUGACUAUUGUAACUAAUAUGGCAUUAUUUAUGCGAUUCUAGAUUUAAUUAUGUUGAAAAAAGAAUAUUGUUUUAUGUGGUGGUGAGUGGACACCACCCUUGGGUGUCAUAGUGUAUCUAAUUCCUAUUAUUGAAAUUAAGUUGAAAUAUCUAAUGUUGAGGACCAUCCAAACAUUUUAUUUUUUAGACGAGAAAAGAGGAAAUGAAAUAGUUGUUUAGAAUGUAAUUUUAAUUAUAAAUUAUAAUUAGCUUGAGCUUAACAUUAAGUUAAUUUUGCAUGCAGAGGCGGAGAGAUACAUAAGUCAUUUGUUAAUGAUAAUGAAGGUGAACAAAACGUCUUUAAGGCGAACAUCCAAGCUCCAGGGAUUGACACUUCGUUCAUUACUGCAAGGAGCGAAGUUGGAAUCGGGGAAGACAGAUUGCUGGAUUUGGAAAGCAGGGGGUUUCAUACUUUUACAGUUAACUCAGCCUAUUUUCAAGUUAGAAAGGAUAGAGUUGGGGAGGUUUCUCCAGUUUACAGUAAGUUGUGGAGGUGAAAAGCUUUGCCUUCCGCUUUGGUCACUGCUUGGAGGGUGAUGGAGAAUGAGAUUGCUACUAGGGUAAAUUUGGAAAGGCGAGGGGUGGUGGUAGAGAAUCUGGUGUGUGGUUUGUGUGGGAAGGUGGAAGAGUCGUCCAGUCAUCUAUUUUCCGUCUGCGAGUUUACCUGGCGGGUGUGGUGUCUUUGUUUUGAGUGGCUUGGAGUGUCGUUUGUUAUUCACAAAGACCCUUUGGUAAACUUCAAACAAUUCAGGUUGUGUUCGGUUUCUAAUGUGGUUAAUGACGUUUGGGGGACGAUUUGGGUUGGUGUUGUGAGUGAAAUUUGGAGACAUAGGAACUCGGUGACCUUCGACAUUGGCGUGGUAGAUGCGCUUGAGGUAUUUGCACUGGUACAGGUAAAUGUUUGGUCUUGGAUUUUUGCAAAGUCCUGUUGUAAUUCCUUUACGUAUCCCAACUGGGUUUUGAACCCAGUGGGAUUGUAUGAGACUAAUUGUUUAAUGCUUUCUUGAGUUUGGUUUGGUUGUUCCUUAUUUAAGUUGGAAGGUGUUCCUUGGUUGGAGGUUGGUAAGGUGCUAACUCUUUAUGUAUAAGGGUUGGACCAUCCCUGAAGUAGUUCUCAUUUAUUUAUUUUUUAUUGUUGAUAAAAGAAAAGGUAAAGAUAUUUGAAUAAUUAUUUAAAUUAUCAAAUUAUUAUAUAUUAUUUUUGUAUUCUCUCUUAAUAUAAGUACUUCUAUUAUUUAUUAUUUUAUUCAAACAGAGGCUAAGGAAAGAUGAUUGGCGUUAAUUUUUUAUAUUCAUUUGAAGGUAUUUGUGGACAAUUGAUAAGAAUGAAACUUGGAUCCUUAAUCAAAUCAAAUUUUCCUCUUUCGUAAGAUAAGAUUUGAGAUCAAAGUCAUUUUAACUUAUAACUUAUUACUAUUGUUAUUAUGGAUGAUGAGUCAUCAUAAUUCAUUAUGAUUUUUUGUUUUUUUAAUAUAAUAAUAAUAAUAAUAGUAAUAAAUAAUAUAUUUUUUUAAAAAAAUUAUAUAAAUAAUCUCUUUUUUCAUCAUAAUUUUCCUUUUCUUAUUCUCUUAGAUUCUGUAAUACCAUCCAAACAAGCAGAAGUGACAAAUUGACCUAAAAGACUUUUAACUAGUAGCAUGAAAAUAAGACAAUAUUGCUUUAUAAGAUAUGCAUAAAAUUUUCUGCUAACAAAUAGAACAUUAAUACCUUCUUAUUUUUUUAAUAAAAUAUUUUUGUCUUAAGUUGGUUUCAGGCCACUCAUACAAAAUUUAUCACAAUGCAUAUAAGGUGAGUUAAUUUUAGUUGAGUUGAAUUUAACCAAAUUAAACAAAACUCCACUCUGAUAUGACUUUGAAAUAAUUAAGUUAAUUGUGUCAGUUUGAUAAUCGAUUAACCCAAUUCAAUAAAUUUCUAUAGAACAAUAUAUAUAUCAUAAUUCUUCUAUUUAUUUUGCAGCACAUUAAUCAGGUUUUCAUUUAAAAGUAUUAAUAAAAGCUUUUGCUUUUUAAAUAUAUGCGUUUUAUUGUUUUUUUUUUGUUUUGUACAAUAAACUAGCGUUUUAUUUUUUUGUUAUGGAAUUGUAAAUAAAAUUCAUAUACUUCAUUUGCGAUCCCAUAACUAUAUCGCUAGUAAAUUAAAGCUUCUUUUUAAGAAUUUUAAUAAUAGAUGCAAGACACAUAAUAAAAAAAGUCUUUAUUUACGGAAAAUACAUGCACCACUCAAACCAUUUUUGUUAUUUUUCACCUAACACUACUACAAAGAAAUCAUACACUACAAAAUAUCUUUAAUAAUCCAAAUUUCAUUACAGUAUCUCAUUACAAAAUUUCAACCCUUGGAGAGCAAGUUGUCCAUGUCACAUCCACAACUUCAUCUCAAGCUUCACCAUUCACUUCAUCAAAAACACCUAUUCCUUUGCUCAUCCCUAACCUAACAUUUGUGCCUGUUGCUUCAUCUUUAUCUGACAUGCAGUAAUUAACCUAUCUGCAUUAACAACCACCUUAAUUUUCCACGUGCUACUUUAUACAAACACAUAUUCGUUCAGUGCGCGUGAAUUGAUAUUUUUCCAAUUCCCUCCUUUUUCAAUGUUUUCAUUUGAAACAUCAAAUUCCAUUUGUCCACCUCUCUGGUCCUAUAAAUAUAUGUGCAUAUACCUUGUUCUCACCCUAUCUACUCAACUCACUCUCAUUUACCUAUUUAAGAUGCAAGCUCCGCUCGAUCCCACUUUCCUUAUCAAACUUCUCAUAACCGUCUUCUUAUUGGCUAUUUUCAUGUGUCUGUUCAUAUAUCUAACAAGGUAUGAAUACCCUAUUUUCAUACUUUCAUUCUGUGUUGAAAAGUUAAAACAAGAACCAAAUCUCUUCUACUUCCUUCAUUCUAACUCUUUUAAGUUACUUGUGUAGAUAAGUUAGAAUUUAGAUAAUUGGAGAGGAAAUUCUCCUAAUUAUAUCAGUUCAUGUAUAUUCAA
RNAcentral lists this long non-coding RNA (3532 nucleotides) under Phaseolus vulgaris (common bean). RNAcentral describes it as "long non-coding RNA (PVUL_LNC002048)". Lineage: Eukaryota; Viridiplantae; Streptophyta; Magnoliopsida; Fabales; Fabaceae. The record is from RNAcentral.